UCAUUUCAUAGCACAUUUGUG
This 21-nucleotide non-coding RNA is filed under the name Caenorhabditis elegans. The record is from RNAcentral. Lineage: Eukaryota; Metazoa; Nematoda; Chromadorea; Rhabditida; Rhabditidae.